CCUACGGGCGGCAGCAGUGAGGAAUAUUGGGCAAUGGACGCGAGCCUGACCCAGCCAAGUAGCGUGAAGGAUGACUGCCCUCCGGUUUGUAAACUUCUUUUAUAAAGGAGUAAAAUGAGGCACGUGUGCCUUUUUGUAUGUACUUUAUGAAUAAGGAUCGGCUAACUCCGUGCCAGCGGCCGCGGUAAUACGGAGGAACAGAGAGUUAUCCGGAUUUAUUGGGUUUAAAGGGAGCGUAGAGGGGUUGUUACGUCAGUUGUGAAAGUUUGCGGCUCAACCGUAAAAUUGCAAUUGAUACUGGCAGUCUUGAGUACAGUUGAGGUAGGCGGAAUUCGUGGUGUAGCGGUGAAAUGCUUAGAUAUCACGAAGAACUCCGAUUGCGAAGGCAGCUUACUAAACUGCCACUGACAUUGAUGCUCGAAAGUGUGGGUAGCAAACAGGAUUAGAUACCCUUGUAGUC
RNAcentral lists this ribosomal RNA (460 nucleotides) under uncultured bacterium. RNAcentral's name for it is "partial 16S ribosomal RNA". It matches the Rfam family "Bacterial small subunit ribosomal RNA", at positions 338 to 795 of the family's 1533-position model. The record is from RNAcentral.